AGAGUUUGAUCAUGGCUCAGAACGAACGCUGGCGGCAGGCUUAACACAUGCAAGUCGAACGGCUGUAGCAAUACAGCAGUGGCAGACGGGUGAGUAACACGUGGGAACCUUCCUAGGGGUACGGAACAACUCAGGGAAACUUGAGCUAAUACCGUAUACGUCCGUGAGGAGAAAGAUUUAUCGCCCUUAGACGGGCCCGCGUCGGAUUAGGUAGUUGGUGAGGUAACGGCCUACCAAGCCUACGAUCCGUAGCUGAUCUGAGAGGAUGAUCAGCCACACUGGGACUGAGACACGGCCCAGACUCCUACGGGAGGCAGCAGUGGGGAAUCUUGGACAAUGGGCGCAAGCCUGAUCCAGCCAUGCCGCGUGAGUGAAGAAGGCCUUAGGGUUGUAAAGCUCUUUUACCAGGGACGAUAAUGACGGUACCUGAGAAUAGCCCCGCAUCCGUCG
This 450-nucleotide ribosomal RNA is filed under the name uncultured Parvibaculum sp. RNAcentral's name for it is "bacterial SSU rRNA". It matches the Rfam family "Bacterial small subunit ribosomal RNA", at positions 8 to 505 of the family's 1533-position model. Lineage: Bacteria; Pseudomonadati; Pseudomonadota; Alphaproteobacteria; Hyphomicrobiales; Parvibaculaceae. The record is from RNAcentral.